Molecule: ribosomal RNA, 253 nt
Filed under: uncultured bacterium
Lineage: Bacteria
Description: partial 16S ribosomal RNA
Rfam family: Bacterial small subunit ribosomal RNA
Source: RNAcentral
UACGUAGGCAGUAAGCGUUGUUCGGAGUUACUGGGCGUAAAGGGUGCGUAGGCGGCUUUUUAAGUUUGGUGUGAAAUCUCCCGGCUCAACUGGGAGGGUGCGCCGAAUACUGAGAGGCUAGAGUGUGGGAGAGGAAAGUGGAAUUCCUGGUGUAGCGGUGAAAUGCGUAGAUAUCAGGAGGAACACCGGUGGUGUAAACGGCUUUCUGGACCAUAACUGACGCUGAGGCACGAAAGCGUGGGGAGCAAACGGG